GAUGAAGAACGUAGCGAAACGCGAUAAGUAAUGUGAAUUGCAGAAUUCAGUGAAUCAUCGAAUCUUUGAACGCACAUUGCGCCCGCCAGUAUUCUGGCGGGCAUGCCUGUUCGAGCGUCAUUACAACCCUCAGGCCCCCGGGCCUGGCGUUGGGGAUCGGCGGAAGCCCCCUGUGGGCACACGCCGUCCCUCAAAUACAGUGGCGGUCCCGCCGCAGCUUCCAUUGCGUAGUAGCUAACACCUCGCAACUGGAGAGCGGCGCGGCCAUGCCGUAAAACACCCAACUUCUGAAUGUUGACCUCGAAUCAGGUAGGAAUACCCGCUGAACUUAAGCAUAUCAAUAAGCGGAGGA
Molecule: unclassified non-coding RNA, 352 nt
Filed under: soil metagenome
Description: partial contains 5.8S ribosomal RNA, internal transcribed spacer 2, and large subunit ribosomal RNA
Rfam family: 5.8S ribosomal RNA (bases 1-120)
Source: RNAcentral